Molecule: long non-coding RNA, 1048 nt
Organism: Dicentrarchus labrax (European seabass)
Lineage: Eukaryota; Metazoa; Chordata; Actinopteri; Moronidae
Exons: 2
Source: RefSeq, a predicted model, not a curated record
AAUCUGGAAUCACAAGAGGAGGACGGGAGGGUAGUGAGAGGACGUCCAGAAUCUCUAUCACAGUCUUUAUUUUUUAAAACAACCUUCAGAUUGUAAAGCUUAACACAAUAUGAAUGGCUCCACCUUCAUGUCUAAAAGAAGAGCCUUCAUGUCUAAUAGAAGAGUAAUAUUAAAUAUUAAAGACUUUAAUAAACAUAUCAUCAGAUCUCUUAAUACAAAUCUCUUAAUAUACUAAUAUUCUAAUAGCUUAAUCAAUAAUAAUACAUCAUUGUUAUUAGUUGAUUUGUAUUUUGUAGUGCUAUAGAUACAGGACAGAGGUCAGUGCUAUAGAUACAGGUCAGAAGUCAGUGCUAUAGAUACAGGUCAGAGGUCAGUGCUACAGAUAUAGGACAGAGGUCAGUGCUAUAGAUACAGGUCAGAGGUCAGUGCUACAGAUAUAGGACAGAGGUCAGUGCUAUAGAUACAGGUCAGAGGUCAGUGCUAUAGAUACAGGUCAGAGGUCAGUGCUACAGAUAUAGGACAGAGGUCAGUGCUAUAGAUACAGGUCAGAGGUCAGUGCUAUAGAUACAGGUCAGAGGUCAGUGCUACAGAUAUAGGACAGAGGUCAGUGCUAUAGAUACAGGUCAGAGGUCAGUGCUGUUACCUGGGGUUCCUCUCUCUGACCACUGACAGCAUGUCGGUGCUGACGGUGGGAUAGUGAACGUAGCUCGCCACCCUACAGCCUCCCAGGUAACGGAAGAUCGGCAGGGUGAAGGCGUAACCCAUCGAGUCCACGUAGAUGUCGGGAACAAACGCCGUCAACGCCUCCCAGCCUGAGACACACACACACACAGACACAGACACAGACACACACACAGACACACACACAGACACACACACACAGAUGUUAAACUAACCACAGACUGCGUUGUCUUUCACCGUCCUUACUAACAGCAGCGCUCUGUACCGAGGAACAUGGAUCCGGCGCUCUGGCCCAGCAGGGUGAAGUGUGGGUAGGAGGCGGCCUCCACCAGCACGCGGUGACGCAGGAAGAUGAAGGUGACCCGUC